UGAUUUGAAACUAUUGUGAUUCGUUUUAUAAUGUAAAAUCAUCUGGUUGAGCUUAUAGUAAUGAUUUCUGAAAGUUGAAAGACGCUUUGUCUGCAGUCAUGCGAAAAGAAGCAGUUCUGGAUUCCUUGCUAAAUCUCGCUUUACAUUGAAGUUCUAYCAGAAUUGAAUUCAAAUACCAGAUACAUACACAAACCAGUGAAUCAUUGAGGGAUGGACGAAGAAGAAAGGAAUUACUGCUGCCUAGUACUACUACUUUCCAGGGUAGGCCUGGUAAAGUUACGUCAGUUUUUCAUAAAUGAAUGGGAUGCUUUGGGUGGAUUUCAUCCAUGGACUGACUGCAAUCAGAAUGGCACUGACCUGUUGACAAAGUAUACUCCACUUUCUUAUGAAAAAGCCAAAGUCAAGUCAGGUGACACAACAACAUGGGAUUUGUCYCUAUUUGUCAAAGCUCUGUUGAAAUCCAAACCUCCAUUUGUACCCAAAUCUAAAACUACUUUAGUUGCUGGUUUGGAAUGUUUGAAGGAAACAAGAAACACUCUUUGCCAUACCGGCAGUGGUAAGAUUGAAUUGACAGAGUUUACCAAGCUGUACACUGAUGCUUGCAAUGCAUUACUGUUAAUUGGUGCUUCGUCUGUGGAAUUUAAUCAAGUUAAGAAUGGUAAGCAAAAAAGUUUUGAAAAAUAAACCAUUCUGAUGUGAUAAUCUGUACUAUUAAUCAUUUAACAAGCAAAAAUCACCAAAGUUUUGAAUGUUUUCAACCAAUGUCAAAUUAAAGCAAAAUAUCUGUUUUAGUAUUUGUUGAUAAUGGAUGAACUAUUCAAAAAACAAACUAUUAAUACUCAUUUCAAGCAAAUUCUAACAGUUUUGGUGAUGUAUUAAGACAUUUGAAGAAUUCUGGUUUUUGUCAGGCCUUGUUUGUGAAAUGAUACUGUACAUGGUCAUGGUCACUGCAUACAUUGCUAUCAAAAUACUGCUCAUGUUUGGUUGGCUGUAAUUCAUUAACCAYGUACACUAAUGCCUUUCAAUUUAACCAGAAUAUGCACUUUUAAUGCUUUAUAAGACUAUAGUGUCAGGAAAACAAAUGUGUUUUUUGAGCUUCUGUAAAUAUCUCAAAGAUCUGAAUCUAAAUUGGUGUUGAAGUGGUAUGAAUUUAGACUUCAAUGUGUU
Molecule: long non-coding RNA, 1167 nt
Organism: Exaiptasia diaphana
Lineage: Eukaryota; Metazoa; Cnidaria; Anthozoa; Actiniaria; Aiptasiidae
Exons: 3
Source: RefSeq, a predicted model, not a curated record